CCAGCUUUGAAAAUGGAAGCAAGUGGGCCUCCCUCACUUGUCACUUGUCUCCUAGACGGCAGAGAGAUCUGGAAAAAGGUCUUCCACCUCAACACCACUACAGAAAUUCUGGAAACCACCAAGCACUCAUUGAAUUGCACAGCAGAAUUAGAUCGACUACUUGUUUUUAAUACUUGCUUUGAGGCCUUCGUUGAUACUGACGUAGGGGGCAAUGUAUCACAAAUGGACAAAUAUCAAAUUCUGCUCAAGUCAAUGAAGCCAGAGGAUGACCAACAGAAGCAGCAGGUAUGUAUGCAUAUCAAAUGGUAGCCUGUGUUUUGGCUUAAAGGGAUAGUUUGGUUUGUUUUAAGUGGGAUUGGUCACACCAACUCAUUCAAUGUUUUCUUUCUUUUCAUGAUUGCAGCUAUUUGACCACAAAGGCCUGAUUCGUGCAGUCAUGAAAAGAAAGAAAACGCAUUGAAUUAGAUGGUGUGUCAAAACUUUUGGUCUGUACUGUGUUUGUAUGUAUGUCUGUCUAGUAUAUGUCAGGAUGAGCAAUAUAUUAUAUUUAAUCAGUGAUAUUACUUUCUUUUUAAGGCUCAACUAUCGCCUCAGAGACAAAGUACAAAUGCACCUGGUCCUAGUGCUUUAAGUGGGGUAUAUAUGUGUCUGGGAGAUGUACUACCUAGUUUCAGAUAUUGAGCUAAUCAGUGCAAAACAUCAAAGAAUUAUGAACACCACUGAUUUAUUUUUGCUCAUGGAAGCAUCAUUUUGGAUUUUAGUGUGAUAAGCUACUUUUGUACACAUUGUUUUGAUUUACAUAUCUCUUUUCUUUUUCUUUAUACUUUUCUAAGGAUCAACCAUCGACUCAUGAUGCACCUGGUCCUAGUGGUCUUUGGGAGGUAUGUGUCUGAAAGAGAUGCAUAGAGACAGUAAUAUCACAUGGGGCUGAUAACAGUACGAAACAGUAUUGCAUCACUGUAUGCCAACACAAAAUGUCUGUUUAUUUUGAUGUUUAGAAUAGAAUAGAAUAGAAUAUUCCUUUAUUGAUCCCCCAUGGGGGAAAUUUUUUUGUCACAGCAGCAUCACAGACAAGACAAAGAGUGCAAAAAUGCAGUUAUAACAAUAAGGAUCCUAAUAUUAAGAACUUAAUAAAUGUAAUAAUUAAGAAAAAAAUUAGAAAAGGGAAAAAGGGAGAAGAAAAAAAAAAACUUUCUACAAUAUACACAAUUUACACAAUUUAAAUGCCAGAAAAAAGUGGCGGUGUAAAUCCAGUUUUGUUACUGUUCAUUGUAAAGUCUUAUUGCAGAGGGGAGGAAUGAGCGCUCCGUCCUGCAGGGUGGGAGUCUCAGCCUGAUGCUGAAGGAGCUGCCUAAAGCCCCCACAGUCUGGUGCAGUGGGUGAGAGGGAUUGUCCAUGAUGGAUACAAGCUUUGUUAACAUCCUCCUCUCACCCACUUCCUCCAGGGAGUCCAAAGAACAGUCCAGGACAGAACCGGCCCUCCUGACCAGUCUAUUCAGUCUCUUCCUGUCCCUCUCGGUACUCCCUGCCCCCCAGCAGACCACUGCAUAGAAAAGUGCAGAUGCUACCACAGAGUCAUAGAAAGUCCUGAGCAGAGUCCUGCACACUCCAAAAGACCUCAGUCUCCUCAGCAGGUGGAGACGACUUUGGCCCUUCUUGUACAGAACGUCUGUGUUUCAAUACAGUACAGAUUCACUGCUUCAAGAUAGUACUACAAAACUUGUCCAUGUAGAUUCUCAUUCAUCCAGGUCAUGGUUAUCUUGAAGACUUAAAAACAGGCAACUGGACUGUGUAGAGUUGAGAAGACGUUUCGCCUCUUAUCCAAGAAGAUUCUUCAGUUCUAAAAGUGCUAGUGUCAGGAACAUUUUGUGCCAGAUUGAUUAGGUGCAGGCUUUCUUGGUAUGACUGAACAUAUAAUUUUAGCAUUGCUCUUGUUCAAGCCGAGACAUUUUUUUUCUUUUUAAAGGCUGGACAGCUGAAUGCCGCUGCAGCCCGUCAAUCGCAGGUAUGUGUAUGGAGCGCAACAGUAAGUUCUUCCUCCAGGUCCUUUAUAUAAUGUGUUUUAAGGCUUGAACCUAGCCAACACAACAAUAAAAAUAUCAGGGAUGUUUUCCCAUUGUUAUCGUUUGUUUUUGCUUAUUAUUGUUUUACGAUUGCUCAGGAUAUUUGAAUACCAGGGGUCUUCAGCGUUUUCAGGCCAGCGACCCCUUAGCCCCCUCUAUGAACUUCUUUGCCAAACAUAGCUGAUCUACAAGUUGACAACACCUCGCAGCCCAAGGCGUUGUAAGCUUGUAGAUCAGCUAUUUUUGUCUAAGCUUUCACUCAGAAUAGAGAUGCUAGAGUUCAACUAGUUAAUGAUGAAAGAUUUGGUGCCCCCCUGUAUUAACUCUGCUCUGUCCUAGAACGGUCAAGGACAUUUUACACAACAUUUUGAUGCAGCCAGUCUGAGUGCACUCAUUGAGUGAAUAUGAGAAAUAUGAGGGAAUAUGAGAAAUCAGGAACACUCUUCCUGACAUCCAGAAAGCCGCUUGUGAGAAUAAGUGUCAGUGAUCUGGUGGAGCGAAGAGGAUU
This 2571-nucleotide long non-coding RNA is filed under the name Xyrichtys novacula (pearly razorfish). Lineage: Eukaryota; Metazoa; Chordata; Actinopteri; Labriformes; Labridae. The record is from RNAcentral.